UACGGAGGGGGCUAGCGUUGUUCGGAAUUACUGGGCGUAAAGCGCACGUAGGCGGCUUUGUAAGUUAGAGGUGAAAGCCCGGGGCUCAACUCCGGAAUUGCCUUUAAGACUGCAUCGCUAGAAUUGUGGAGAGGUAAGUGGAAUUCCGAGUGUAGAGGUGAAAUUCGUAGAUAUUCGGAAGAACACCAGUGGCGAAGGCGACUCACUGGACACGUAUUGACGCUGAGGUGCGAAAGCGUGGGGAGCAAAGCAGG
RNAcentral lists this ribosomal RNA (254 nucleotides) under uncultured bacterium. Its description in RNAcentral is "partial 16S ribosomal RNA". It matches the Rfam family "Bacterial small subunit ribosomal RNA", at positions 524 to 777 of the family's 1533-position model. The record is from RNAcentral.